UACGUAGGAGGCGAGCGUUGUCCGGAGUUACUGGGCGUAAAGGGUGCGCAGGCGGUGGUGCGCGUGGAUAGAUGAAAUCUCCCGGCUUACCUGGGAGGGUGGUAUCCAGACGGCAUCACUUGAGGGUCGGAGAGGGGCGUGGAAUUCCGGGUGGAGCGGUGAAAUGCGUAGAGAUCCGGAGGAACACCGACGGCGUAGGCAGCGCCCUGGACGACACCUGACGCUGAGGCACGAAAGCUGGGGGAGCAAACAGG
This 254-nucleotide ribosomal RNA is filed under the name uncultured bacterium. Its description in RNAcentral is "partial 16S ribosomal RNA". It matches the Rfam family "Bacterial small subunit ribosomal RNA", at positions 524 to 776 of the family's 1533-position model. The record is from RNAcentral.